Molecule: long non-coding RNA, 242 nt
Filed under: Elaeis guineensis (African oil palm)
Lineage: Eukaryota; Viridiplantae; Streptophyta; Magnoliopsida; Arecales; Arecaceae
Description: long non-coding RNA (EGUI_LNC031879)
Source: RNAcentral
UUUGUAUGUUUUCAGAGUUUUAGGUCCAGAAAAUUAGGAUUCCAUCUCGAUACUUUAGUUAAGACAUUCUAGAAUGGAUGACCUCCUUGACUUGAUAGGGGCCUUCCCAAUUCAGAAUUAGCUUCCUUUGCUCGAUUGGUCAAGAUCCCUCAGCUCAUCGUAAGAUUAGGUCAUCGACUUGGAAUUCCUUCCAUUUGACCUGAGAGUUGUAGUACCAUGCCACCUUGCAUUGAUAUGCCACC